GAUGUCGAUUUGGAGGUUGUGCCCUUGAGGCGUGGCUUCCGGAGCUAACGCGUUAAAUCGACCGCCUGGGGAGUACGGCCGCAAGGUUAAAACUCAAAUGAAUUGACGGGGGCCCGCACAAGCGGUGGAGCAUGUGGUUUAAUUCGAUGCAACGCGAAGAACCUUACCUACUCUUGACAUCCAGAGAACUUUCCAGAGAUGGAUUGGUGCCUUCGGGAACUCUGAGACAGGUGCUGCAUGGCUGUCGUCAGCUCGUGUUGUGAAAUGUUGGGUUAAGUCCCGCAACGAGCGCAACCCUUAUCCUUUGUUGCCAGCGGUUCGGCCGGGAACUCAAAGGAGACUGCCAGUGAUAAACUGGAGGAAGGUGGGGAUGACGUCAAGUCAUCAUGGCCCUUACGAGUAGGGCUACACACGUGCUACAAUGGCGUAUACAAAGAGAAGCGACCUCGCGAGAGCAAGCGGACCUCAUAAAGUACGUCGUAGUCCGGAUUGGAGUCUGCAACUCGACUCCAUGAAGUCGGAAUCGCUAGUAAUCGUAGAUCAGAAUGCUACGGUGAAUACGUUCCCGGGCCUUGUACACACCGCCCGUCACACCAUGGGAGUGGGUUGCAAAAGAAGUAGGUAGCUUAACCUUCGGGAGGGCGCUUACCACUUUGUGAUUCAUGACUGGGGUGAAG
Molecule: ribosomal RNA, 677 nt
Filed under: Kluyvera intermedia
Lineage: Bacteria; Pseudomonadati; Pseudomonadota; Gammaproteobacteria; Enterobacterales; Enterobacteriaceae
Description: bacterial SSU rRNA
Rfam family: Bacterial small subunit ribosomal RNA
Source: RNAcentral